Molecule: long non-coding RNA, 504 nt
Organism: Arachis duranensis
Lineage: Eukaryota; Viridiplantae; Streptophyta; Magnoliopsida; Fabales; Fabaceae
Exons: 2
Source: RefSeq, a predicted model, not a curated record
UCGAUAAUUGCAUGAUCUACUUUGACUUUGGGUUUCUCCUGUUCCAACCCCUUUAACCCAAAAAAGAGAAUAGCUCAAGUGGUGCUCUUUUCAAAUUGCUUCUUUAUCUCUUUGCCAUCGUAGCUCAUUUGCUCUGAUCUUGGAUAUCUUUUAUCAAAAGGUGAAUUGACUAACCAUUAUUUUUUCAUGUGAUAGCUAUUUGUGUGAUUUUUCCCGCCAAGCAAUCCCUUAUUUUAUAUUUUGGCCGUUCCAAAAUUUUUCCCCACGAGAUUGGUCAUACCUUGAGCAUAGUUUUGUUUCCCACCAUCGCACAAACAUCAUUUGGGUUUACUAGGGAACAUGUCCACCUUUUGCGUUUAAGGAAUUGCAUACAGACGCAUUUUUUUGUUUGUGUGGACUCAUGUUUGGUGCAUUUCUUUACUUCAUGAUAAAAGCGUAUGCUCUAGAGAUUAUCGUAUGUGAUUCAUGUACAAGUUAUUUUAGUAACAACGAAUUUUAUUUUCA